RNAcentral lists this non-coding RNA (31 nucleotides) under Mus musculus (house mouse). Lineage: Eukaryota; Metazoa; Chordata; Mammalia; Rodentia; Muridae. The record is from RNAcentral.
UGUCUUGGAUGACUCCAGAAUCUUGGAGAGG